Molecule: ribosomal RNA, 496 nt
Filed under: uncultured bacterium
Lineage: Bacteria
Description: bacterial SSU rRNA
Rfam family: Bacterial small subunit ribosomal RNA
Source: RNAcentral
GACGAACGCUGGCGGCGUGCCUAAUACAUGCAAGUCGAGCGGAGUUAGAGAAGCUUGCUUCUCUAACUUAGCGGCGGACGGGUGAGUAACACGUGGGCAAUCUGCCCGUAAGACUGGGAUAACUCCGGGAAACCGGGGCUAAUACCGGAUAAUCCUGACUCUCUCCUGAGAGUCAGUUGAAAGAUGGUUUCGGCUAUCACUUACGGAUGAGCCCGCGGCGCAUUAGCUAGUUGGUAGGGUAAUGGCUUACCAAGGCGACGAUGCGUAGCCGACCUGAGAGGGUGAUCGGCCACACUGGGACUGAGACACGGCCCAGACUCCUACGGGAGGCAGCAGUAGGGAAUCUUCCACAAUGGACGAAAGUCUGAUGGAGCAACGCCGCGUGAGUGAAGAAGGUUUUCGGAUCGUAAAACUCUGUUGUAAGGGAAGAACACGUACGAGAGUAACUGCUCGUACCUUGACGGUACCUUAUUAGAAAGCCACGGCUAACUACGUG